Molecule: long non-coding RNA, 1069 nt
Organism: Mesocricetus auratus (golden hamster)
Lineage: Eukaryota; Metazoa; Chordata; Mammalia; Rodentia; Cricetidae
Exons: 3
Source: RefSeq, a predicted model, not a curated record
UAUGUAGCUCAGGCUGGCCUUGAACUGGCAACUCUCCUGCCUCAGUCUCCCUAGUGCUAGUAUUAUGGGCGUGUAUGGCUGGGCAUCAGUGAACUAGCUCUUUUCUUCCAUGUAAUCCUCAGUAUCCUCUCUAGGUACCAAAGUCAAAGAAAGCUUCCCUUCAGUCCUCCCUGUGGGAGCUGUGGUGGAGCACAGAGUCCUGGAGAAAGAAGUAGGAGGAAGACCCCGAGAGGAGGGGAGGCUCUCCAAUGGUCGUGGGUGGCUCUUUUCCCACGGCAGCUCACAGCCGUUCUCUCAAAUCCUGCAGCCCCAAGUGUGAUUCUUAAACCUCCAAUGCAGUCGUUCUUGAUGGUUCGGAACUCCACUCAGUCCAAGAUGUUCUGGACGGACCAUGUCACACAGCCGUGUACACAGAAAGGCCUGUCGGUACUCCAUCACUUAGUGUCCUGGAGGCACUGUGAGGAAUGGCCCUCCAGCUUCCCCUGCCUCUAACCCCCACCCUGCCCUAAACCUCAUCACUGUUGGAUGAUGAAAAACAAAGGUAUCUAUACUUAUACAGCAUAGGCCUGCCUUAGAUGGCUCUUUGAGUGGGGCUUCAGCUGUGAUCAUUGGGAAUUCAUUCGGGGAGGGUGCCUCUCAGAUCCCUUAGCAAUGGGGCCUGCUUCUGGCUAGCCCAUGUCUGUGUGUCCUGUAUCACGAUCUGGAUUCUUUCUCCUGUACCAUUAUCAACUGAGAAUAAGUCUCUUUCUCCUCUAUAGUCACCACCUGAUUCUUUUUGCCUAGUGAUGCAGGAUCCCACUCCCCAGCCCGCUUCCUGGAUCUCCAUGGAGAAGAAGCAGAGCAGGAGAAUGAACUCAGGAGACUUGGGCUUGAUUCCAGUUUGACUCUUUUUGGUAGUGUGACCUUGGGGAGAAGUGUUCCAAGGUCUACAACUUAGUCUGAAAUGUGCCAAAAAGAAGAUGGGGGCUGGAGAGAUGGCUCAGCGGUUAAGAGCACUGACUGUUCUUCCAGAGGUCCUGAGUUCAAUUCCCGGCAACCACAUGGUGGCUCACAACCAUCUGUAAUGAGA